AACGAACGCUGGCGGCGUGCCUAACACAUGCAAGUCGAACGAGAAAGGGGCUUCGGCCCUGAGUAAAGUGGCGCACGGGUGAGUAACACGUAGGUAACCUACCUCUAAGUUUAGGACAACCUGUCGAAAGAUGAGCUAAUACUGAAUGAGACCACAGUUUCUUCGGAAGCAGAGGUCAAAGGUAGCCUCUAUUUAUAAGCUAUCACUUAGAGAUGGGCCUGCGUACCAUUAGCUAGUUGGUGAGGUAACGGC
RNAcentral lists this ribosomal RNA (252 nucleotides) under uncultured bacterium. RNAcentral's name for it is "partial 16S ribosomal RNA". It matches the Rfam family "Bacterial small subunit ribosomal RNA", at positions 29 to 264 of the family's 1533-position model. The record is from RNAcentral.